Molecule: ribosomal RNA, 465 nt
Filed under: uncultured bacterium
Lineage: Bacteria
Description: partial 16S ribosomal RNA
Rfam family: Bacterial small subunit ribosomal RNA
Source: RNAcentral
GACGAACGCUGGCGGCGUGCUUAACACAUGCAAGUCGAACGGAAAGGCCCUGCUUGCAGGGUACUCGAGUGGCGAACGGGUGAGUAACACGUGGGUGAUCUGCCCUGCACUUCGGGAUAAGCCUGGGAAACUGGGUCUAAUACCGGAUAGGAGCCAUUUUUAGUGUGAUGGUUGGAAAGUUUUUUCGGUGUAGGAUGAGCUCGCGGCCUAUCAGCUUGUUGGUGGGGUAAUGGCCUACCAAGGCGGCGACGGGUAGCCGGACUGAGAGGGUGGACGGCCACACUGGGACUGAGAUACGGCCCAGACUCCGACGGGAGGCAGCAGUGGGGAAUAUUGCACAAUGGGCGCAAGCCGGAUGCAGCGACGCCGCGUGGGGGAUGACGGCCUUCGGGUUGUAAACUCCUUUCGCUAGGGACGAAGCUUUUUGUGACGGUACCUAGAUAAGAAGCACCGGCUAACUACGUG